RNAcentral lists this unclassified non-coding RNA (686 nucleotides) under Hevea brasiliensis (rubber tree). Lineage: Eukaryota; Viridiplantae; Streptophyta; Magnoliopsida; Malpighiales; Euphorbiaceae. The record is from RNAcentral.
GGCAUCGUUUGGCUCUACAAUCUCGUUUUCUACAUCCCGCUUGAUAUUAUCAAGUUUAUUAUCCGCUAUGCUCUGAGCGGGAAAGCGUGGGAUCUCGUCAUCGAACAAAGAAUUGCCUUCACAAGGAAGAAAGAUUUCGGGAAGGAAGCGAGGGAGCUUAAGUGGGCGCAUGCUCAGAGGACACUUCAUGGGCUGCAGGCACCUGAUAGCAACAUGUUCACUGAAAGCAACUUCACUGAUCUCAACCAGAUGGCCGAAGAGGCCAAACGGCGAGCUGAGAUUGCUAGGCUAAGGGAGCUGCACACUCUGAAAGGUCAUGUGGAGUCGGUGGUGAGGCUGAAGGGACUGGACAUCGAAACCAUUCAGCAAGCCUACACUGUCUGAAACCGAAGAGGCACGACAAGUCGAUGAUCUAUCGAGCAAUGCUGAUACUGAUACUGCCAUCGAGGCGUUGUUCCAUACGAUAAAUACCCGCAAUGUUAUUAUUCCGAUUUCUGAUUAGUUUUGUUUAAUACUGGAGCUAUUGGGUUGUUCUUAUUCAGUACAGCUAUUUUGGGCAGAUUUAGUAGCAUAUCUUGGCACAUGGAUUGCAUUUGUUUCACUGCAUUGUUUUGUACUAAAAGAAAUUUGGAUUAGCAGCUAGAGCAUGUGGUGGGUCAUUUAUUAGAACAUGGGUCGUCUGCCGC